AUACGGAGGGUGCAAGCGUUAAUCGGAAUUACUGGGCGUAAAGCGUACGUAGGCGGUCCGUUAAGUUAGAUGUGAAAGCCCCGGGCUUAACCUGGGAACUGCAUUUAAAACUGGCGGACUAGAGUUGAGUAGAGGGGAGUGGAAUUUCAGGUGUAGCGGUGAAAUGCGUAGAGAUCUGAAGGAACACCAGUGGCGAAGGCGACUCCCUGGACUCGAACUGACGCUGAGGUACGAAAGCGUGGGUAGCAAACGGGAUUAGAAACCCUGGUAGUCC
Molecule: ribosomal RNA, 274 nt
Filed under: uncultured bacterium
Lineage: Bacteria
Description: partial 16S ribosomal RNA
Rfam family: Bacterial small subunit ribosomal RNA
Source: RNAcentral